Long non-coding RNA from Grammomys surdaster, 553 nucleotides. RefSeq lists it as uncharacterized. NCBI's taxonomy places the organism in Eukaryota, Metazoa, Chordata, Mammalia, Rodentia, Muridae. The transcript is spliced from 3 exons. The record is from RefSeq and is a predicted model, not a curated record.
CUUCUACUUUACUUGGAAACCUUGUCCUGCUAGAGGGUCUGCAAGGGUGAUGCCCUGGCACAGAGCUGCCAACUCCUCUGCUCGGCUGCACUAGGGCUGAGGGAAUGCCAUUGCUUAUUUCUGCAAACCUCUCCAAAAUUCAGAUUGUUUUUGAACAAUUGUGCAUUUUGAAUACUUUCUCCAAUGAUAACUUCAGUUACAGGGAAAGCUGGAACACAAUUGCCCACUACCACAAAUUAUGCAUUUUUCCACAUUUGGGGAAGUCACAAGGUCAGAACAUCUGAAAUGCAGUGGAUAAGCCUCACCCUGGAAAAAAAAUACCUUCUUGACUAUGGUAUCUUACCUUCCAAGUAUCUAUGCCCCAAGAUAAUAAAAAUAAAACAAUAAAUUGAAACAAAUCUCAAGUGAUUGUAAUGAAAAUUGGCCAAAGUUCUUGCUGAUCCUAAUGUGUAGAAGAGCCAAUAUUAAACAUUUCAAAAGAAUUCGUGAGAAAAAGGUUUCAGUUUAAAGUCUGCCCCCAAGCAUUCACAUUAAAGAUUUAUUUUUUAUUUUA